UACAGAGGUCUCAAGCGUUGUUCGGAUUCAUUGGGCGUAAAGGGUGCGUAGGUGGCAGGGUAAGUCGGAUGUGAAAUCCCGGGGCUCAACCUCGGAACUGCAUUCGAUACUGCUUUGCUUGAGUACUGGAGAGGAGAUUGGAAUUUACGGUGUAGCAGUGAAAUGCGUAGAUAUCGUAAGGAAGACCAGUGGCGAAGGCGGAUCUCUGGACAGUUACUGACACUGAGGCACGGAAGGCCAGGGGAGCAAACGGG
Molecule: ribosomal RNA, 254 nt
Filed under: uncultured bacterium
Lineage: Bacteria
Description: partial 16S ribosomal RNA
Rfam family: Bacterial small subunit ribosomal RNA
Source: RNAcentral